This 440-nucleotide ribosomal RNA is filed under the name uncultured bacterium. Its description in RNAcentral is "partial 16S ribosomal RNA". It matches the Rfam family "Bacterial small subunit ribosomal RNA", at positions 338 to 795 of the family's 1533-position model. The record is from RNAcentral.
CCUACGGGUGGCAGCAGUGGGGGAUAUUGCACAAUGGGGGAAACCCUGAUGCAGCAACGCCGCGUGGGUGAAGAAGUAUUUCGGUAUGUAAAGCUCUGUCAGCAGGGAAGAAACUGACAGUACCUGACCAAGAAGCCCCGGCUAACUACGUGCCAGCAGCCGCGGUAAUACGUAGGGGGCAAGCGGUAUCCGGAUUUACGGGGUGUAAAGGGAGCGUAGACGGUUAUGUAAGUCUGGAGUGAAAGCCCGGGGCCCAACCCCGGGACUGCUCUUGGAACUGCAUGGCUGGAGUACAGGAGGGGCAAGCGGAAUUCCUAGUGUAGCGGUGAAAGGCGUAGAUAUUAGGAGGAACACCGGUGGCGAAGGCGGCCUACUGGACUGUGACUGACGUUGAGGCCCGAAGGCGUGGGGAGCAAACAGGAUUAGAUACCCCUGUAGUC